This 500-nucleotide ribosomal RNA is filed under the name uncultured bacterium. RNAcentral's name for it is "partial 16S ribosomal RNA". It matches the Rfam family "Bacterial small subunit ribosomal RNA", at positions 30 to 523 of the family's 1533-position model. The record is from RNAcentral.
AUUAAACGCUGGCGGAAUGCUUUACACAUGCAAGUCGAACGGCAGCACGGACUUCGGUCUGGUGGCGAGUGGCGAACGGGUGAGUAAUACAUCGGAACGUGCCCAGUCGUGGGGGAUAGCGUAGCGAAAGUUACGCUAAUACCGCAUACGAUCUACGGAUGAAAGCGGGGGAUCGCAAGACCUCGCGCGAUUGGAGCGGCUGAUAUCAGAUUAGGUAGUUGGUGGGGUAAAGGCUCACCAAGCCGACGAUCUGUAGCUGGUCUGAGAGGACGACCAGCCACACUGGGACUGAGACACGGCCCAGACUCCUACGGGAGGCAGCAGUGGGGAAUUUUGGACAAUGGGCGCAAGCCUGAUCCAGCCAUGCCGCGUGCAGGAUGAAGGCCUUCGGGUUGUAAACUGCUUUUGUACGGAACGAAAAGGUUUGGCCUAAUAAGCUGGACCCAUGACGGUACCGUAAGAAUAAGCACCGGCUAACUACGUGCCAGCCGCCGCGGUAA